RNAcentral lists this ribosomal RNA (659 nucleotides) under Nocardioides sp. RNAcentral's name for it is "bacterial SSU rRNA". It matches the Rfam family "Bacterial small subunit ribosomal RNA", at positions 106 to 763 of the family's 1533-position model. The record is from RNAcentral. Lineage: Bacteria; Bacillati; Actinomycetota; Actinomycetes; Propionibacteriales; Nocardioidaceae.
GUGAGUAACACGUGAGUAAUCUGCCCUUCACUCUGGGAUAAGCUUCGGAAACGGGGUCUAAUACCGGAUAUGACUGCCCUGCGCAUGUGGGGUGGUGGAAAGUGUUUUAGCGGUGGGGGAUGUGCUCGCGGCCUAUCAGCUUGUUGGUGGGGUAAUGGCCUACCAAGGCUUUGACGGGUAGCCGGCCUGAGAGGGUGACCGGUCACACUGGGACUGAGACACGGCCCAGACUCCUACGGGAGGCAGCAGUGGGGAAUAUUGGACAAUGGGCGGAAGCCUGAUCCAGCAACGCCGCGUGAGGGAUGACGGCCUUCGGGUUGUAAACCUCUUUCAGUAUCGACGAAGCUUCCGUCUUUUGGUGGGGGUGACGGUAGGUACAGAAGAAGCACCGGCCAACUACGUGCCAGCAGCCGCGGUAAUACGUAGGGUGCGAGCGUUGUCCGGAAUUAUUGGGCGUAAAGGGCUCGUAGGCGGUUUGUCGCGUCGGGAGUGAAAACAUCUGGCUUAACUGGGUGCUUGCUUUCGAUACGGGCAGACUUGAGGCAUGCAGGGGAGAAUGGAAUUCCUGGUGUAGCGGUGAAAUGCGCAGAUAUCAGGAGGAACACCGGUGGCGAAGGCGGUUCUCUGGGCAUGUCCUGACGCUGAGGAGCGAAAGUGUG